Gopherus flavomarginatus (Mexican gopher tortoise) is the source of this 2705-nucleotide long non-coding RNA. RefSeq lists it as uncharacterized. The record is from RefSeq and is a predicted model, not a curated record. Lineage: Eukaryota; Metazoa; Chordata; Testudines; Testudinidae. The transcript is spliced from 3 exons.
AAUCAUCAGACACAGAGAGCCAUCCACAUGAUCCACCUUGAUAAAGAUUCUGGCAACACUUGAGUGGAAGAUGAAAACUAAAGUGAAUGUAAAGAGAUUCCAUGAGUCAGCCAUGCCAUGACUUGUAGUUUUGGCAUCAGCCUUUCAAAAUUGGGCGUUCCCCUGUGAUGUUUAAUUGGCUCUCGGAAACACAGUUUAAAACAAGUUUUGGACAUAGGCGCACGGAACAAAACCAGCUUCGGUGGGGAAUUCAUUCUGGCUGCAAAAAGAAGGUGGUGAGAGAAGCCUUCCUCAUGAGGCAUCAGAUGGAAGGAGGUCUGAACCAAAAAGCCAGGCCCACACCCUUUGAGGAUAUUUGAAAUCCACACCCAGAUCUGAAAGUGAAUUGUGAAGCUUGGCAGCUUUUGGUAAGGCCUGGAAAAAAGAACGUGUCAAGAUCCCAACCAUGAAUGAAAACGAUAAUACAGCAAAGGUGUAUUACGUAAAUCUGUACUGCAGUGAAGCCCUUGAUAAGUUAAAUGAGAGCUGAAGAGUAGGCUUUGAAGAUUAUGGUUGAGAUUCUGUGUUGAGCCUGUAAGAGACACAGUGCAGAAUUCGUGGCCCAGAGGAAUGGUGGCAGGGAGGGUGGGGAUGGGGGAGGGGGCUGGCUAAGGUGUCUUUAAGCCACCCUUGUACUCUGCUGAUCCUGGAGAGGCCCUUGGCAUAAUGCAGACAGCUAUUUAAGUUGUGGCAGCCUCCUUGGGCAGCCUUAUGGGCUGCAGUGCUGCCCAGAAUCUCUGCAGUGCAGUGGUCUUGUCCUUGAUGUGCCCCUACAUCAUCCAGCCUGAGCUGUUUGACCCCUCUGCCAGGGCAUGAGACUGUAUCACAAGGCAGCCUUAUUACAGCUGUCAUCCAGAGUGCAGUGCCUGCACCUGGGGAAUGUCCACCAAGCAGAACGGGGGCUUUUAUGGCCCUUUGACAUCACUCUGGCUCUUCUGGGUGGCAAGAAGGGGCUGAAGCAGGUGGAGUGAGGUCAGGAGCUCACCCUAUGUGCUUUGACUAGUGUAAACCACAGACAUUUUUAUCGUGGAACAAAUACUUGAGUAGUAAGCACAGUCGGGAAAGGAACUGAAAUAAUUCCCUGAUGGAUUUUAUUUUCGAACAGGUCAACCUAUCCUAAAUUCUCAAAAACUAAGAGACAAUCUUCACUCGUUGAUAUAUUUGCUUUCCACAACCAACUCUCUGUAUAACUUUUUAUGGGUGAUAUACCUGAAUAUUUGGAUGCUAAUAUCUAAAUUAUCUCAUUACAUUUGUUAAUCAUAUUUGGGUUAUUGCUGAUUAUGUACUCUAUGUAUUGUAUUACUUUUAAACCAAUGUUUGUACUUUUGAAUAAUUUAAGCACUAUAUCCAGAUGUACAGAGACUCUUCUCUUAACCUACGGAUUAUAUAAUUUUAACAUUAGCUUUAAUAUAAAUUUUAAAUGCAGCUUCGCCUUGUCAAACGUGUCAAUGACCUGAAGAUAACCAGCAGUGAGUUAACUAUGGUAAAAACUCUAGUGUAGACAAGCCCGUGGCAAGAGUUGCAUACAAAUCUCUGACCCAACUCUGCAGACAUUUCAUAUGCAGACAUCCGAUUGGCAUUGAAAGGACUGAUCUUGAAAUCCUUUCACAGGCAAAGCUCCCAUUAAUUUCAGUCAUCCCCAAUAGGAAACAUGUAGAUUGACUUCUUGGACCAAUACUGGAAACAGAGUAGACCUGGGGACUAGAUAUGUUAUUUUCCUUGUGCCUCCUUAUCUCUUGAUCAGUCUAUCGACUAUCCACAUAUAUGCUUCUCUUAGACCCAUUUUAAGGGCUUCUCCUUGUUUUUCCAGUAACUCAUCCAGCCCCCAUCAACGUCAACCUGCAAGAGAUUUUGUCUCCUGCUUAGAAGACACUAGCCUACACACACAAUCUUCAAAACCCGCUCUUCAACUCUCAUUUACCUUUUCAAGUGCUUCACUGAAGCACAGAUUUACAAAAUACAGCCAUAUUAUCUUUUCAUUCAUUGUCAUGAACUUGACAUAUUCAUCUUUUAAGGUUUUACCAAAAGCUAUCAAGCUUCCUAUAAAAUGGGAAGGUGGUUUUAUAUAGAUCUGGAAAAGGGAUUUUUUCAUUUGGCCUCUGAACACUUUCAUGUGGGAUAUCUGGAUAAUUUAUGAUCAGAGAUAGGUCCAAGCCACCAGAUUUAAAAGUGUCUGUUUGCCUUAUAAACCUUAAAACUUGCAUCCAGAAACAAACAUCAGGGGAGUGUCCAGACUAGACUUUAAAAACAUGUUAGCUACCAUGAGUUAACCUGCAAUCAAUUUAGAAGUAAAAGCGCUAGUGUAGACAUAUCCUGUGAGACUGCUGUUUACAACGAGACUUUCAUUUACAUGCUGAUGUGUGUACAUCAUUAACACAUGCCACAUUCCCUGAAUUUCAAACAAACUUAUGGAAGCCGGCCAGCAAAAAGCACAAACUCAGAUUUUACCAGACUUUACAAAGACUGUUAGAUGAUGUACCACUUCUUUUACUAACUAUGGACUGUGAAAAUACUUGUCCUGGGUAAAUUGCACAUCAGGGUGCAGUAUACAUACAACUCUUUAAGGUUUUGCUAAUAAAUGCAUGAAAAUAUUUGGGGAGACUGUAUGACUAUAUAAACUGUUAUAUAUAAACUGUUAUAUAUAAACUCUUUUUUAAAAAAAAAUC